This 462-nucleotide ribosomal RNA is filed under the name Clostridioides sp. ZZV14-6345. Its description in RNAcentral is "partial 23S ribosomal RNA". It matches the Rfam family "Bacterial large subunit ribosomal RNA", at positions 786 to 1255 of the family's 2925-position model. The record is from RNAcentral. Lineage: Bacteria; Bacillati; Bacillota; Clostridia; Peptostreptococcales; Peptostreptococcaceae.
GCGUUGAAAAGCUCGGGGAUGACUUGUGGGUAGCGGUGAAAUUCCAAUCGAGCCCGGAGAUAGCUGGUUCUCCCCGAAAUAGCUUUAGGGCUAGCCUCAAGGUGAGAGAUACGGAGGUAGAGCACUGAAUGUCCUAGGGGGUAUUGCACCUACCGAAGACUAUCAAACUCCGAAUGCCGUCAUCUUAUACUUGGGAGUCAGACUGUGGGUGAUAAGAUUCAUAGUCGAAAGGGCAACAGCCCAGAUCGUCAGCUAAGGUCCCUAAAUGUAAGUUAAGUGGUAAAGGAUGUGGGAUUGCACAGACAACCAGGAUGUUGGCUUAGAAGCAGCCACUCAUUCAAAGAGUGCGUAAUAGCUCACUGGUCGAGUGAUCCUGCGCCGAAGAUUUCCGGGGCUAAAACUUACUACCGAAGCUACGGCAUCAGCAAUGAUGGGUAGGGGAGCUUCCCAUACGGGUUGAAG